This 440-nucleotide ribosomal RNA is filed under the name uncultured bacterium. RNAcentral describes it as "partial 16S ribosomal RNA". It matches the Rfam family "Bacterial small subunit ribosomal RNA", at positions 338 to 795 of the family's 1533-position model. The record is from RNAcentral.
CCUACGGGCGGCUGCAGUGGGGGAUAUUGCACAAUGGGGGGAACCCUGAUGCAGCGACGCCGCGUGGGUGAAGAAGCGCCUCGACGCGUAAAGCCCUGUCAGCAGGGAAGAAAAUGACGGUACCUGAAGAAGAAGCCGCGGCUAACUACGUGCCAGCAGCCGCGGUAAUACGUAGGGGGCAAGCGUUAUCCGGAUUUACGGGGUGUAAAGGGGGCGCAGACGGCGAUGCAAGCCAGGAGUGAAAGCCCGGGGCCCAACCCCGGGACUGCUCUUGGAACUGCGUGGCUGGAGUGCAGGAGGGGCAGGAGGAAUUCCUGGUGUAGCGGUGAAAUGCGUAGAUAUCAGGAGGAACACCGGUGGCGAAGGCGGCCUACUGGACUGCAACUGACGUUGAGGCCCGAAAGCGUGGGGAGCAAACAGGAUUAGAUACCCUAGUAGUC